Molecule: long non-coding RNA, 1035 nt
Organism: Lynx canadensis (Canada lynx)
Lineage: Eukaryota; Metazoa; Chordata; Mammalia; Carnivora; Felidae
Exons: 4
Source: RefSeq, a predicted model, not a curated record
GCGCCCCCCAGGCGCCCUCCCCGCCCCCCAGACCUUUUACUGGGUCACACCGGCAAAAUCCUUCUCUGUCCUAUAAGGUGACAUUCACGGAGUCGGGACGCGGCUCUCUUUGGGGGGCGGUAUUCAGCCUACCACGAAUGGCCACCAACCAUCCCUCGACUCUGUUUAUGCCCACGCCCCACGGAUCAAGAGGCAGCAUCCACUUGCGUUCCCCCGCGGCAAUCUUGUGACCGGCUUUGACCGACACAAUGUAGUCGAAAGUGACGCGAGCCACUGUGGUGGCUUCUACAGUGGCUCCCUUGCAACCUGGCCGCCGCCACGUCAGAGAGAGGUCGGUCUGGGCCACCCCGGGGAGGAGGGGGGCCGCUGGAAGAGAGACGGAGACCUUUGGAGACAGAGAGACGGGGAGAGACAGCAGCGCAGGGACACGAGGCCAAGGAAUCGUCAAGAAAGUCACGGGCUCCCGGCCGCAGGCCCGGCGAGGCUUUGAGCCACACGUGUCGGUUACCUCAGACGCCAGCCCCGCGGGGCCUGUAGAUAACUGGGACCCCAGCUGACACCCGGGCGCCGUCCGGGGACAGACCCCGAGCCAAGACCACCCAGGUCAAGCCACAGAGCCCACGAGAACUCACCCGUUGCUUCAAGCCACUGGCGAGCCCUCCCAAAGUCACAGGGUGCCUGUGUCACACUGUCCUCACCGGCUACGUGGAACCCAUAAGGAGCCCCCUUUGCAAGGUGCUCCUCUGGAAUUCAGGACUCCUGCUGAUGCGGGAACUGAGGCACCGAGAGAGGAAAUCUUUGCGCUCUUCCUGGCUUCCGUGACAGUUCAUGUAGAUCCCUCGCGAGCUGACUCCCGUGGGACUCGCAGCAUCAUCACGUCCCUCGUCACAUCCACGUCCCAAGCCCUGGAUGCGCCUCUCUUUGAAGCUGAUAUCUUAGCUUCCUGCCGCCAGGCUCGCCCAUUUCCUUGCCGGGCAGAAUUUCAAAGUUUUAUGGCAACUUGUACAGAAAUCACAGAGAAGAGACAACGACCGG